RNAcentral lists this long non-coding RNA (2738 nucleotides) under Numida meleagris (helmeted guineafowl). Its description in RNAcentral is "lncRNA (ENSNMEG00000000847.1)". Lineage: Eukaryota; Metazoa; Chordata; Aves; Galliformes; Numididae. The record is from RNAcentral.
GUCGCUAUGGGUCGCUAUGGGUCUCGCUAUGGGUCGCUAUGGGUCGCUAUGGGUGGCUAUGGGUCGCUCUGGGUCGCUAUGGGUCUCUAUGGAUCACUAUGGGUUGCGCUAUGGGUCGCUAUGGGUCGCUAUGGGUCGCUAUGGGUCUCGCUAUGGGUCGCUAUGGGUCGCUAUGGGUCGCUAUGGGUCUCGCUAUGGGUCGCUAUGGGUGGCUAUGGGUCGCUAUGGGUGGCUAUGGGUCGCUAUGGGUGGCACUAUGUGUCGCUAUGGGUCUCGCUAUGGGUCACUAUGGGUCGCUAUGGGUCGCUAGGGGUUGCUAUGGGUCGCUCUGGGUCGCAGUGGGUCGCUAUGGGUCGCUAUGGGUCGCUAAGGGUCUUGCUAUGGGUCUCUAUGGGUCGCUAUGGGUCUCUAUGGGUCACUAUGGGUCACUAUGGGUCGCUAUGUGUCGCUAUGGGUCUCGCUAUGGGUCGCUAUGGGUCGCUAUGGGUCGCAGUGGGUCGCUAUGGGUCGCUAUGGGUGGCUAUGGGUGGCUAUGGGUGGCUAUGGGUGGCUAUGGGUCACUAUGGGUCUCGCUAUGGGUCUCGCUAUGGGUCGCUAUGGGUGGCUAUGGGUCACUAUGGGUCACUAUGGGUCGCUAUGGGUCUCUAUGAGUCACUAUGGGUCUCGCUAUGGGUCACUAUGGGUCGCUAUGUUUCGCUAUGGGUCGCAGUGGGUCGCUAUGGGUCGUGCUAUGGGUCACUAUGGGUCACUAUGGGUCUCUAUGGGUCACUAUGGGUCGUGCUAUGGGUCACUAUGGGUCGCUAUGGGUCUCUAUGGAUCACUAUGGGUUGCGCUAUGGGUCGCUAUGGGUCGCUAUGGGUCUCUAUGGGUCACUAUGGGUGGCUAUGGGUCGCUAUGGGUCGCUAUGGGUGGCUAUGGGUCUCGCUAUGGGUCGCUAUGGGUCGCUAUGGGUCGCUAUGGGUCGCAGUGGGUCGCUAUGGGUCUCUAUGUGUCUCAGUGGGUCGCAGUGGGUCGCUAUGUGUCGCUAUGGGUCUCGCUAUGGGUCUCUAUGUGUCUCAGUGGGUCGCUAUGGGUCGCAGUGGGUCGCUAUGGGUCGCUAUGGGUCGCUAAUGGGUCACAAUGGGUCGCUAUGGGUCGCAGUGGGUCGCUAUGGAUACUGGUUGUGGGUCGCUAUGUGUCGCUAUGGGUCGCAGUGGGUCGCAGUGGGUCGCUAUGGGUCACAAUGGGUCGCUAUGGGUCGCUCUGGGUCUCUAUGUGUCUCAGUGGGUCGCUAUGGGUCCCUAUGGAUCGCUAUGGGUCGCAGUGGGUCGCAGUGGGUCGCUGUGGGUCUCUAUGUGUCUCAGUGGGUCGCUAUGGGUCGCUAUGUGUCGCUAUGGGUCGCUAUGGGUCAGGGCUGUGGGUCUCUAUGUGUCUCAGUGGGUCGCAGUGGGUCGCUAUGGGUUGCAGUGGGUCGCUAUGGAUCCUGGUUGUGGGUCGCUAUGGGUCGCUAUGGGUCGCUAUGGGUUGCGCUAUGGGUUGCUAUGGGUCUCUAUGUGUCUCUAUGUGUCUCAGUGGGUCGCAGUGGGUUGCUAUGGGUCGCUAUGGGUCGCAGUGGGUCAGGCUCACCGGGCAGCAGGAGGUUUCCGAAGCUGUAGCCGGCGGUGGCGGCGAUGACGAGCGCCCCCCUUCCCGCGCAUUGACCGUCACGGAUCCGGCCCCCGCUGCCCGUGGCCGCGCCGCUGAACGGGGACACCGCUGACAAAAAGAGAUGGGGGGGGGGGGAAAGGGGGCACUUGGGGGGCACAGCCCCAUAGAGAGACAGCGAUGCCCCAUAGGGAGACAAUGCUGCCCCAUAGGGAGCAGUGCCGCUGAACGGGGACACCGCUGACAAAAAGGGGGAAAAGGGGGCGAAGUGGGGGGCACUUGGGGGGCACUUGGGGGGCACUUGGGGGGCACGGCCCCAUAGAGAGAGAGCGAUGCCCCAUAGGAAGCGGCGCUGCCCCAUAGAGAGACUGCGCUGCCCCACAGAGAGACUACGCUGCCCCAUAGGAAGCGGCGCUGCCCCAUAGAGAGACAAUGCUGCCCCAUAGGAAGCGGCGCUGCCCCAUAGAGAGACAAUGCUGCCCCAUAGGGAGACAAUGCUGCCCCACAGGGAGACAACACUGCCCCAUAGGGGGACAUCGCUGCCCCAUAAGUAGCGGCGCUGCUCCAUAGGGAGACAACACUGCCCCAUAGGGAGACAAUGCUGCCCCAUAAGUAGCAGCGCUGCCCCAUAGAGAGACUACGCUGCCCCAUAGGGAGACAACACUGCCCCACAGGGAGACAACGCUGCCCCAUAAGUAGCAGCACUGCCCCAUAGGGGGACAUCGCUGCCCCAUAAGUAGCGGCGCUGCUCCAUAGGGAGACAAUGCUGCCCCAUAGGGAGCAGCACUGCCCCAUAGGGAGACAAUGCUGCCCCAUAGGGAGACAAUGCUGCCCCAUAAGGAGCGGUGCCGCUGAACGGGGACACUGCUGCCGAAAAAAGAGGGGGGGGGAAAGGAUGUGGGGGGCACUUGGGGGGCAAGGCCCCAUAGAGAGACUACGCUGCCCCAUAGGAAGCGGCGCUGCCCCAUAGAGAGACUACGCUGCCCCAUAGCGAGACAGCGAUGCCCCAUAGGGAGACAAUGCUGCCCCAUAGGGAGCAGUGCCGCUGAACGGGGACACCGCUGACAAAAAGGGGGGGAAAGGGGGCGAUGUGGGGGGCACUUGGGGGGCACGGC